GACCAGGUGGCAGAUUGGCUAUGCCGUUGGUUCGCAACCCUUCGUAAGCCGGUUCGAUUCCGGCCCUGGUCU
This 72-nucleotide transfer RNA is filed under the name Gammaproteobacteria bacterium. RNAcentral describes it as "tRNA-Ala". It matches the Rfam family "tRNA". From Rfam's summary of the family: Transfer RNA (tRNA) molecules are approximately 80 nucleotides in length. The record is from RNAcentral. Lineage: Bacteria; Pseudomonadati; Pseudomonadota; Gammaproteobacteria.